GACGAGCGGCGGACGGGUGAGUAAUGUCUGGGAAACUGCCUGAUGGAGGGGGAUAACUACUGGAAACGGUAGCUAAUACCGCAUAACGUCGCAAGACCAAAGAGGGGGACCUUCGGGCCUCUUGCCAUCAGAUGUGCCCAGAUGGGAUUAGCUAGUAGGUGGGGUAACGGCUCACCUAGGCGACAAUCCCUAGCUGGUCUGAGAGGAUGACCACCCACACUGGAACUGAGACACGGUCCACACUCCUACGGGAGGCAGCAGUGGGGAAUAUUGCACAAUGGGCGCAAGCCUGAUGCACCCAUGCCGCGUGUAUGAAGAAAGCCUUCUGGUUGUAAAGUACUUUCAGCGGGGAGGAAGGCGAUGAGGUUAAUAACCUCGUCGAUUGACGUUACCCGCAAAAAAAACACCGGCUAACUCCGUGCCACCACCCGCGGUAAUACGGAGGGUGCGAGCGUUAAUCUGAAUUACUGGGCGUAAAGCGCACGCAGGCGGUCUGUCAAGUCGGAUGUGAAAUCCCCGGGCUCAACCUGGGAACUGCAUUCUAAACUGGCAGGCUAGAGUCUUGUAGAGGGGGGUAGAAUUCCAGGUGUAUCGGUGAAAUGCGUAUAGAUCUGGAGGAAUACCGGUGGCGAAAGCGGCCCCCUGGACAAAGACUGACACUCACGUGCGAAAGCGUGGGGA
This 681-nucleotide ribosomal RNA is filed under the name Enterobacter cancerogenus. RNAcentral describes it as "bacterial SSU rRNA". It matches the Rfam family "Bacterial small subunit ribosomal RNA", at positions 90 to 767 of the family's 1533-position model. Lineage: Bacteria; Pseudomonadati; Pseudomonadota; Gammaproteobacteria; Enterobacterales; Enterobacteriaceae. The record is from RNAcentral.